GGAAAGGAAGGACUAAAACAGACGUUUAGCCAUGUAUAUAUAAGAGAAAACCUUUGAAUGAAGGAUGUAUCAGAGGUAAGAAUCCAGAAGCUUGAAGUUUUCCACCGAUCACUUCGUUUCUUCACGGUUUCUUCGUUCGACGUCCGAAUCAAGCGGUUUUCGCGUCGAUUUCUUCGAAAUUGAAAGCUCUAUCAUCUCCAAGCUUCAAAUCAAGACGUACGACCGAGCGGUGAGGGCACUAGGGGUGUACUAGCACGAGCAUAUUACCACAUCGAUCUUGUUGUAGAGUGGAUAGCGGUCACUGUGCUUAGCUUCUGGACUUAGCUAGAGGACAAUUUUGAAGUCCAGAAGUCGGCUGUAUAUGUUAGACUCUGACUU
Molecule: long non-coding RNA, 378 nt
Organism: Mercurialis annua (annual mercury)
Lineage: Eukaryota; Viridiplantae; Streptophyta; Magnoliopsida; Malpighiales; Euphorbiaceae
Exons: 3
Source: RefSeq, a predicted model, not a curated record